GGUAAGUGGGUCUGUCAAAGAUAAACUAAGCUGGACCUUAGUUAAAGCUACGAAAACAGAUCUUAUUCAUUAACCACUGACGGGAGAAGCUGAGCUCCAUUCGGAUCUGUGCAGGGGGACUGGACAGUUUAAUGGGAGAACGUAGGAGUCGGGAAAGGGCACUCCGGGGCUCAGGAACCAUGGGAGUGAAGAAUUACAAAAGGCUGUUUGUGUUAUUGUGGCCGGGCCAGCUGUGUGUGCCAGCUGGCAGUGAUGGAAAUUAGCUUCUGUCCUCCCCCAGAGCCUGGGAGACAGGCCCCAUCCUUCCUGAUGAUGCCAUUUCAAAGGACUGGCUCUCAGGCUCUUGAGAAAGACACUCCUGGACAGACAUGCGUGUACAUCUCAAAGGGACAAGGGAAGGAGGUACGACUCUAAGCGUUUUUAACGUAAAUGCUCUAAGAAAGUUGGGUGGGGGGGUGGUCAGAGGCCUGUUGUCAGGUGUUGGUAGGAACAAACACUGAACGAUUUUGACGGCCUUGAGCUUUUCAGACAGGAACUCGAAGGGUGGCCAGGUGGUCCCAGGGAUGCCGCUUUGGGCUGCCAGAAGCCAUGCUAGGGUUGGUCCAGUCUCUUGGUGCAGGGGUUUGGACGCAGUCACUAUGUACCAAACUUCUGUUAGAGUUCUCAGUUUCAAACCCCACCCACCUCCCCCAAUGUGGGAGGCACAUCAGUAAAUAUCAGCCUCUGAUGCUCAUGAACCUACACGAUGCAAAAGAGCUCUAAAAAUGGACGGUGGCUGACAGCAGGGCAGCCCUGAACCAUACCAAGUGGCAGACCAGGAAGUGGCCUUGGAGGCCACGCUGAAAGGAAGAACAAAGCCACUGAGAAAAAAAAGUAAAGGUAACCAAGAAAAGUUAAGCUGCACACAAAGAGUAUGGCCAACAGAGGGCAGCACCUACGGGCAGGAUGAAGUCUCCAGGGAGACCUUGUCCAGUUGGUGCAUCGCUGGGGGUGGAUGGUGUGGAGGUCAGAGAUGGUGGCCCUAGAGCCAUAGGCUUGAGCAGGGAGCCACAAUAAUUCUCCAGACAAUACCACAGCCUGGAGGAAACGCCCUUCAGGAAUAUUUCAUAGUGGCAAUGGCUGACGAACAUUGAGCCAUUACAAGGUGCCAGGCACUGCUUCGGAAACCAAAGGACCAUGCUGAAGAGCCCUGCCGUUCUCCAGUCUGAUCCCAGGCUUCCUGAGUCGUCCUCUGGUUCCAUCUUCCUGAACUGUUUCCUACCUCAACAUCCCUGAGAGAUCUAGCACAUUCCAUUCUGUAACAGGGAUGCCACAGAUUCUUGGUGGAGGGAGGGAGGUGCUGCUCCUGCUGGCCAUAGGGUGCACGCUCCCUGCAGUAGCCCCUGAAGAGCAGCCCUCGGUUAAUUUUGGCUACUUUGAACAGAAAUAGGAUAGUUGAUAAUUCUGGAAAAGUGAGGAGCUGGAGGUGAAGUGAGAGGCGUGGCUAAUCUUAUCUGCGUGCUGGAAGUGACCUUCCGCUGAUAAAGCUUUGGGCUUCCGGGAAUGAAAUCAGCUGGCAGCCACCGCAGUUUUGCUUGAUUUGUAACACCGGAAGAUGAGGGCAGAUGAUCAGAGUCCUGUGUGCAUUUAGGCCACAGACUGGGUUAGCAAAUCUAAAUACGAAUCUCUCAUUGGGGAAAUAUUGGUCAAAAGGUAGAGAAUUUCAGUUAGACAAGAGGAAUAAGUCCAAGAGACCUAGUGUGCAGCCCACAGUGACAAAGUGCUCAACAGUGUGUUGUAUGCUUGGAAAUCGAUAAGAGUAGAUUUCACAAAAUGAAAAGUGAGGUAUGCAUUUGUUAUUAGCUCAAUUUAGCCAUUUCACAAUGUAUACACAUUUCCAAACAUGGUAUACACCUACAUGUACGCAAUUUUUGUCAACUUAAAAAUAAUUGAAAAAAAAAAAAAAAGAAUCACUCAAGCCAAACAAAACAACCCAUGGAAUUCUGGGAUGGAAGCCAUGCCUAUUACAACAGAACCUCCAGGGAUGAACGAGGCUGGGGCUUUAGCCAGCUCUCCAGGUGCCUCUGCCACAGGCAGACCCACACAGGGCCAGAGUUCGGGAAUCAUGCGCCAGGUGCGGCCUGCAGUGCUACUUGUCAAUGUGGAGUGUGGUCUACCUGUAAUAGAAUAACCUGGAAUGCUUGAAAGUACAGGUUCCUGGGUCCCACACUGCACCCUGCAGGUUUAGAUUCUCACACGGGAUUCUAGACUUCACAUUUUAAGCCAGCUCCCAAGGGUUACGGUGCUAACCGAAGCCCUGGAAGACAGGAUGUCCAAGCCCUGGCACUGUUGACAAUUUGGGCUAGAUAAUUCUUUGGGUUUUUUUGUGGGGGACGGGGAGCAAGAGAGGGCACUGUUCUGUGCAUCCUACGAUGCUUAGCAGCACCCCUUCCCUUUACCCACCAGAUGCUAGCAGAGCCCUUCUCCCUGCUCCUGGCCAUGACAACUAUAAAUGUCUUCAGCCAUUUUGAAAUGUUCCCUAGGGAAGCACCCCUACCAUUGAAACCACUGCUCUAGAACCUCAACCCCUCAAGGGAUUUCCAAACUUAGUUAUCACCCCAGACCCUCAGGAAAGGAGGCUGGGGGGCCCUGAGGGGAGCCGGAUGCCUUCAGCUGGCUUCCCCAGCGGGACUGGAGCUUCUGACCAGAAGACCACACCCCAGCAACAAGGAAGCCCCCAAGCUGCCAGGGACUACCAGGUAUCAGAGCAGGCACUGACCCCAGCACGAGCUGGUCCCUCUGCGAGCUGGUGCUUCCCAGGAGGCCGGGGGCAGGGAGCUCCGGCACUGCCCCGAGCCCAGUGGAACUUGGUGUUCUCCUUGCAGGCGGCUCCCUGAGCAGGGUGGGUGGACAUGGUUGGGACGGAUAUUCUCAGACCCCUACAGGACCCCCGCCUUGGCUCUCUAACCUCAGGAUUAAGGGUCAUGAUAGCAGCAAGGGUCUUCCUCCCACCUGAAAUGUCAGCAUUUCGUCCUCUGACAAAGACCUGGGACACACUGGGGUGGUGACUUCAUCUUCCCAUUCUGUGUCCCAUACAGCAGGAGCCCCAGGCUCUGAAUUCCUGCAGAUUCUGCAGCGUCAAUCAGCUGCAAUGCCAGGUGCAAAGGCCUUGCCCUUGGCCGGCAGCAAUCGAUUCAGCAAACAUAUUUCUCUUUUUUUUUCUCUACCCAGCCUCCCAGAAGCAGUUUAACUUCACUUAGCAGCUCAGCUCAGCUUGGAGGUUAAGAGUGCGGAGCCUACACCUGGAUCAAAUUCCAGCUCUACUGAUGAUUAGUGUUCAACAAUAAAGAGGCAGCCAAGCGGCAAUGUAUUUCAGAGCUGCAACUGCUUGCCUCUGCUGUAAGAGAAACCCCAGCCAUGCCUUCAGCACAUAAAAACUUCAGAACAACCAAAUGACAGCCUCCAGCUACUCCUUUAAGCCUUCCUCAUGGACCUUGCUUCAAGUGUCGCAAAACUGGCCACUGGGCCAAGAAAUGUCUGCAGCCCAGAAUUCCUCCGAAGCUGUGUCCCACCUGUGCGGGAUCCCACUGGAAAUCGUACUGUCCAACUCAUAUCACAACCACUUCUAGGGCUGUGGAUCAAAGCUCUCUGGAUCAAAGCUCUCUGGCUAACUCCUUCCCAGAUCUCGGCUUAGCGGCUGAAGACUGAUGCUGCCUGAUUGCCUCAGAAAGCCCCCUGGACCAUCACAGAUGCCGAGCUUCAGGUAACUUUGACAAUGGAGGGUAAGUCCGUCCCCUUUUUAAUAGAUACGGGGGUUACCCACUCCACAUUACCUUCUUUUCAAGGGCCUGUUUCUCUUGCCCCCAUAACUGUUAUGGGUAUUGACGGCCAACCUUCUAAACUCUUAAAACUCCCCCACUCUGGUGCCCACUUAGACAACAUUCUUUUAUGCACUCUUUUUUAGUUAGCCCCACCUGCCCAGUUCCCUUAUUAGGCCAAGACAUUUUAACUAAAUUAUCUGCUUCCCUGACUAUUCCUGGGCUACAGCCACACCUCAUUGCUGUCCUUUUGCCCAAUUCAAGGCGUCUUUCACAUCCUCCCUUUGUGUCUCCCCACCUUAAUCCACAAGUAUGGGACACCUCUACUCCUUCUCUGGCAACCAACCAUGCACCCCUUACCAUUCCAUUAAAACCUAAUCACCCUAACCCUGCUCAACACCAGUAUCUCAUCCCACAGCAAGAUUUAAAGGGAUGAAGCCUAUUAUUACUUGCCUGUUACAGUAUGGCCUUUUAAAGCCUACAGACUCUCCUUACAACUCCCCUAUCCUACCCGUUCAGAAGCUGGCUAAUUCAAGACCUUUGCCUUUAAAGCCUACAAAUUCUCCUUACAACUCCCGUAUCCUACCCAUCCAGAAACCGAACAAGUCCUACCAGCUAGUCCAAGACCUUUGCCUCAUAAAUCAAAUUGUCCUUCCCAUCCAUCCUGUUGUGCCAAACCUCUAUACUCUCCUCUCCUCAAUACCCACUUCCACAACUUAUUAUUCUGUUAUCGACCUCAAAGAUGCCUUCUUUACCAUCCCCUUGCAUCCCUCCUCCCAACUUCUUUUCGCCUUUACUUGAACUGACCCUGACACCCACCAGUCCCAGCAACUCACCUGGACUGUCCUAUCCCAAGGUUUCAGGGACAGCCCACACUACUUUGGUCAGGCCCUCUCUCAUGACUUCCUUUCUUUCCGCCUGUCUGCCUCCCACCUUAUUCAAUAUGUUGAUGACUUUCUUCUUUGCAGCCCCUCUUACCAAUCUUCCCAGCAGAACACUAUCCUACUUCUUCAACAUCUCUACUCAAAAGGGUACCGAGUAUCCCCUUCUAAGGCUCAAAUUUCUUCCCCUAGUGUUACAUAUCUCAGCAUAAUCCUCCAUCAACAUACACAUGCUCUUCCUGCAGACCGUAUUCAGUUAAUCUCCCAGACCCCUAUCCUGACCACCAAACAACAACUCCUUUCCUUCUUAGGCAUUGUUGGAUACUUCCAACUCUGGGUACCAGGCUUUGCCAUUCUAACCAAACCGCUUAACUGAUCCCAUAGACCCUAAAUCCUUUCCCCAUUCUUCUUUUCAUUCUCUCAAAAAGGCCCUAGAAACAGCUCCCACACUGGCACUCCCUGACUCAUCUCAACCUUUUUCCUUACACAGAGCUGAAAUACAAGGCUGUGCUGCUAGAGUUCUCACACAGGAGCCAGGCCCACGACCUAUAGCCUUUCUACCCAAACAACUUGACCUCACAGUUCUCGGCUGGCCCUCAUGUCCACAUGUGCUGGCAGCCACUGCUUUAAUACUUCUAGAGGCCCUCAAAAUCACAAGCUAUGCUCCACUUACCCUCUACAGUUCUCACAACCUUCAAGCAUUAAUAUCCUCCUCACACCUUUCACACUUACUGUCUGCCCCUCGACUCCUCCAGCUCCAUUCACUCUUUAUUGAAACCCCAACAGUAACUAUUGCCCAUGGGCCUGAUUUCAACCCAGCCUCUCACUUAGCACCCAGCACAAGUCCUGAGCCACACGACUGUAUCUCCCUAAUAUACAUAGCAUCUUCCCCCUUUCCUCAUAUUUCUAUUUUUCCAAUCCCAAACCCAGACCACACUUGGUUUAUUGAUGGCAGUUCCUCUAAACCCAGCCAAAUCUCGCCAGUUAAAGCUCGUUAUGCUGUCAUGUCCCAUACCUCUUAUCAAGGCUGCUGCACUUCCUCCCUCCACUAUUUCCCAACAAGCUGAACUGAUUGCUUUAACCUAUGCACUCUCUUUCGCCAAAGGAAUGAACAUUAACAUUCACACUGACUCCAAAUAUGCUUUCCACAUCCUCCAUAACCAUGCUGCCUGUUGGACCAAAAGAGGUUUUCUCACCACACAAGGCUCUUCCAUUAUCAAUACCUCUCUAAUAAAGGCCCUCCUUAAGGCUGCUCUCUUGCCAGCCAAGGCUGGGGUCAUUCACUGUAAAGGACACCAGAAACCAACUGAUCUUAUUGCUAAAGAAAAUGCUUAUGCCAACAAAACAGCCAAGGAAAUAACCAAUGCCUCCACACCUGCUAAUAUUCCAGCCCCUACUCCAGAAGGCCAGUAUUUUUCUUUCUCCUUUAUCACUCUCACCUACUCUUCUUCUAAAAACCUGCUCUACCAGUCUUUUCCAACUCAGGGCAAGUGGUUCUUAGAUCAUGGAAAAUUCAUUCUUCCAUAGCUUAAUCCAGGAGACAAAGAUUAUUUUACUUAUGAUCUCUCCUGCAUAGGCUCUGCAAUAAAAGCUAUUGAACUUCUCCAUUCAGACCGCUGCUCAUACCUAUGGGAAAAGGGUAAUAUAAUAGAUCAUUGGCUUAACAACAGGGAAUCCCACUCAUAUGACAGAAAAUGGGGACAAAAAGCUUUGGUACAUAAAACAUUAUUCCUUCCCUGGCCUAAAAACUCAUCACCACCUACAUUAAAGCUAAUAUGCCUGAUAACUGUUUUUAGAGAACUUAUUUUAUUAGGGCAAUUCCAAGCUCAAAAAUGUGCUAACUGGCACCUUGUUAGCUACAUAGAAAUGCACCCUAGACCUGAAACUUACUGGACUAACUCAUUAUAAAAUUUUCUUUAAGGUGUCCACGCAGUCCCUGGUCAUGCUUGAAGCAGUCCUGAGAAACAUCACCCCUACCCCAAUAAUCCCCAGGAAAAAAUGGUAUUUUCUUUAUCUUUUCUUAUAGCUUUAUAUUUUAUACAUAAAAAGACAGGAAUGUCAGGCCUCUGAGCCGAUGCUCAGCCAUUGUAACCCCUGUGACCUGCACAUAUAUGUCCAGAUGGCCUGCAGGAGCUAAGUCUGGAGUAGCUGAAAAACCACAAAAGAAGUGAAACAGCCAGCUCCUGCCUUAACAGAUUGACCAAACUUAAGACAUUCCACCAUUAUGACUUGUUCUGGCCCUGCCCCAAUUGAUCAAUUGACCUUGUGACAUUCUUCUGGAUGAUGAAUCUUAUGAUCCCCCGACCAGGCACCUUGUAACCCCCUCCUCUGCUAACAGUAGAAAACUACCUUUAACUGUAACUUUCCACUGCCUACCCAAGUCCUAUAAAGCUGCCUCUCUCCUACCUCCCUUCGCUGACUCUCUCUUCAGACUCAGCCCACUUGCACCCAAGUGAAUAAACAGCCUUGCUGCUCAUACAAAGCCUGUUUAGGUGGUCUUCUCUACGGACACAUGUGACAGUUUAGAAAGGUGGGACAACUUGAAAUGGGGUGGGCUGGGUGGGGUGGGUAAGGGUGUUCCAGGUGAUAGGUAGAUUUUAAAGUUUCUCGUUGGCAAUCGGUUGAAAGGGUCAAGUUAUUAUCCAAAGACCUGGAAUCAACAGAGAGAAAUGUCUGGGUUAUGAUAAGGGAUUGUGGAGACCAAGGUUUUAUCACGCAGAUGAAGCCUCCAGGUAGCAGGCUUCACAGAAUAGAUUGUAAAUGUUUCUUAUCAGACUUAAGGUCUAUGUUGAUGUUAAUUCCUAUUAGCUCUUCCUGAAAUCCAAAAGGGAGGCGGAUACAGUGAGGCAUAUCCAACCCUCCCUUCCCAUCAUGGCCUGAACCAGUGUUUCAGGUUAACUUUGGAAUGCCCUGGCCAAGAGGAGGUGUGCAUUCAGAUGGUUCGAGGGCCUUAGAAUUUUAUUUUUGGUUUACAUUACCUAGAAAGAGAGAGAGAGAGAGAGAGAGUGAGUGUGUGUGUGUGUUGUUAUGGAUACACACAUACUGGAUUAUUUGACAGACACUGGAAGGGCUCACUGAGCCUUCUUGGCAGCUCCCUGGGGACCUGCCUGGAGCCUGGAAAGCUAAAAA
Cercocebus atys (sooty mangabey) is the source of this 7807-nucleotide long non-coding RNA. RefSeq lists it as uncharacterized. The record is from RefSeq and is a predicted model, not a curated record. NCBI's taxonomy places the organism in Eukaryota, Metazoa, Chordata, Mammalia, Primates, Cercopithecidae. The transcript has 2 exons.